UGAGGCCUAUGAGGGAUGAGAGCUUGGUGCGCAUUUGCCUGUGAAGCCUGGCACCUGAACUCAGCACUCUGCAACCCACAAUUACAACUGCUUUAAAGACAACCACCUCCUUCUGGCCCCCACCAUCAUGGCGCAGCAGAAAAGCAUGAUGCGCUGGGAGUAAGAUAUAGACACGGUGCGGUGGACGUGGAGGUGUGCUGCCCAGAUGUCCCUCCCGGGAAGGACUGGUGGUCCCAGUUCUGGGAGUGCUGUCAGCAGGUGCUUGUCAACUGUCAGCCCUUCGAGGCCUCCGUCAGCUGCAGAGGGCCGUCUCCCCCGGGGGGGCCGUGUCCGCAUCCAAUGACCGAUUGAGGCAAGUGUAUAAAAGCCCAGCUAUUCGGCCCAGUGCCGGACAACUCAGACGGGCUUCCCAGUCCUGCCUCCUGUCCCUUCCUUCCACAGGUGCUAAUCCUAAGGGCAUUCCCUAAUAAACACCCAAAGCCUUAAUUCCCUUUCGGAGGCUGCUUUCUGGAGAGCGCAACCUGCCACAAAUGAGUAUGAAUUUCAGAUCAACUACUUAGGAACGCUGUGACUUUGGGGAAACCAUGACCUAUUUCCUGUAAGACUCAAUUUCCUUAUCUGCAAAAUGGGAAUAAUGGUAACUUCUUCAUAGGAUCAUGGACUGAGGUCAGCCGAGAACUGUAUGUUCCUCAAAGCUUCAGUGAGAUGAUACAGCCCACAGCUCAGAGGUCCAUUGGGAUCAGUCAUAGACCUUACUCUGCCUGGGCCGGAGACUGCCAGCUCCAACUGACCUAGAACACUGCCCCCCAAACAAGCUUUGCUCUCCACCUCAUCCACCAAGGAGCU
Molecule: long non-coding RNA, 846 nt
Filed under: Equus caballus (horse)
Lineage: Eukaryota; Metazoa; Chordata; Mammalia; Perissodactyla; Equidae
Description: lncRNA (ENSECAG00000046378.1)
Source: RNAcentral